AGUGAGACUGUUCACAUGGAUCUCAAAUAAGCUCUUCAAUCAAAGCUACCUAAAAUUAUCACCAUUUGCUAAUAUACCAUGGCCUUCAAGUCAACAAGUUCUGAUAAAUACUUAUCGGGUUUGGAAAGUCUUAGUUAGGAAAACCUGGCCCAUAGAGAGCUUACACCUAUGACCUUGGCUUCGUGGGCACCAUGAUCUCAGCAAUGCAUCUAUCAUGCCUGCCUUUGGACCUAAUGAGUAUGAACCACAUUACAUCAGAGAAGAGUGCCAGGGUCAACAAUUAAUAUUUUAGAGUUACAACUACAUGUGAACCUAUGUACUUGCAUUUUCAGCAAUAUUGCAGCAUAGUAUUAUUUAUCUCUAAAAUAAAAAAUGC
This 376-nucleotide long non-coding RNA is filed under the name Homo sapiens (human). Its description in RNAcentral is "HSALNT0249320". Lineage: Eukaryota; Metazoa; Chordata; Mammalia; Primates; Hominidae. The record is from RNAcentral.